RNAcentral lists this ribosomal RNA (328 nucleotides) under uncultured cyanobacterium. RNAcentral's name for it is "bacterial SSU rRNA". It matches the Rfam family "Bacterial small subunit ribosomal RNA", at positions 378 to 721 of the family's 1533-position model. The record is from RNAcentral. Lineage: Bacteria; Bacillati; Cyanobacteriota.
AAAGCCUGACGGAGCAAGACCGCGUGCGGGAAGACGGCCUGUGGGUUGUAAACCGCUUUUGACAGGGAAGAAUAUGUGACGGUACCUGUCGAAUCAGCCUCGGCUAACUCCGUGCCAGCAGCCGCGGUAAUACGGAGGAGGCAAGCGUUAUCCGGAAUUAUUGGGCGUAAAGCGUCCGCAGGUGGUUUAUCAAGUCAGCUGUUAAAGCGUGGGGCUUAACUCCAUAAAGGCAGUUGAAACUGAUAGGCUAGAGUGCGAUAGGGGCAAGGGGAAUUCCCAGUGUAGCGGUGAAAUGCGUAGAUAUUGGGAAGAACACCGGUGGCGAAAG